This 60-nucleotide transfer RNA is filed under the name Falcidens acutargatus. Its description in RNAcentral is "tRNA-Phe". The record is from RNAcentral. Lineage: Eukaryota; Metazoa; Mollusca; Caudofoveata; Chaetodermatida; Chaetodermatidae.
AUUAAGGAAGCUUAUAAGCGUAACAUUGAAGAUGUUAAGUAGGGUAUUACCCACUUAAUA